RNAcentral lists this ribosomal RNA (837 nucleotides) under uncultured archaeon. RNAcentral's name for it is "bacterial SSU rRNA". It matches the Rfam family "Archaeal small subunit ribosomal RNA", at positions 21 to 859 of the family's 1478-position model. The record is from RNAcentral.
GGUUACUGCUAUCGGUGUUCGCCUAAGCCAUGCGAGUCAUAUGUUCGUAAGAACAUGGCGUACUGCUCAGUAACACGUGGAUAACCUGCCCUUGGGUCCGGCAUAACCCCGGGAAACUGGGGAUAAUUCCGGAUAACGCACAUAUGCUGGAAUGCUUUUUGCGUAAAAUGGAUUCGUCUGCCCAAGGAUGGGUCUGCGGCCUAUCAGGUAGUAGUGGGUGUAAUGUACCUACUAGCCUACGACGGGUACGGGUUGUGAGAGCAAGAGCCCGGAGAUGGAUUCUGAGACAUGAAUCCAGGCCCUACGGGGCGCAGCAGGCGCGAAAACUUUACAAUGCGGGAAACCGUGAUAAGGGGACACCGAGUGCCAGCAUCCUAUGCUGGCUGUCCGGGUGUGUAAAAUACACCUGUUAGCAAGGGCCGGGCAAGACCGGUGCCAGCCGCCGCGGUAACACCGGCGGCCCGAGUGGUGAUCGUGAUUAUUGGGUCUAAAGGGUCCGUAGCCGGUUUGGUCAGUCCUCCGGGAAAUCUGACAGCUUAACUGUUGGGCUUUCGGAGGAUACUGCCAGACUUGGAACCGGGAGAGGUAAGAGGUACUACAGGGGUAGGAGUGAAAUCUUGUAAUCCCUGUGGGACCACCUGUGGCGAAGGCGUCUUACCAGAACGGGUUCGACGGUGAGGGACGAAAGCUGGGGGCACGAACCGGAUUAGAUACCCGGGUAGUCCCAGCCGUAAACGAUGCUCGCUAGGUGUCAGGCAUGGCGCGACCGUGUCUGGUGCCGCAGGGAAGCCGUGAAGCGAGCCACCUGGGAAGUACGGCCGCAAGGCUGAAACUUAA